CGCCCUUAGUAGGUUUAUAAUUAAGGGUUGGGCCUGCCCGGUGAUUAAUUUAACGGCUGCAAUUAAUAAUUGUGCUAAGGUAGCGUAAUAAAUUGUCCUUUAAUUGGGGAAAGGUAUGAAUGGUUUGACGUAAGAAAAACUGUCUCUAAGAAAAAUAUUGAAUUUUUCUUUUUAGUGAAAAGUCUAAAAUAGGAUUAAUAGACGAGAAGUCCCUUUCGAGCUUAAUUACAAGGUAUAUAAUAUUAUUUUUAAAAUUUAGUUGGGGCAACUCUGGAAUAAUAAUAGCUUCCUUAUGAUUAUAAUGAUCCAAAAAUUUUGAAUAAAGAAAAAGCUACCGUAGGGAUAACAGCGUUAUCUUUUCUGAGAGAACAAAUUGAAGAAAGGGUUUGCGACCUCGAUGUUGAAUUAAGGUUUCCAAUAGGCGCAGAAGCCUAAAUGGUAAGACUGUUCGUCUUUUAAAGCUUUACA
Molecule: ribosomal RNA, 468 nt
Filed under: Lasaea adansoni
Lineage: Eukaryota; Metazoa; Mollusca; Bivalvia; Galeommatida; Lasaeidae
Description: partial 16S ribosomal RNA
Rfam family: Bacterial large subunit ribosomal RNA
Source: RNAcentral